GAUGAACGCUGGCGGCGUGCCUAAUACAUGCAAGUCGAGCGAACAGACGCGGAGCUUGCUCCUCUGACGUUAGCGGCGGACGGGUGAGUAACACGUGGAUAACCUACCUAUCAGACUGGGAUAACUUCGGGAAACCGGAGCUAAUACCGUAUAAUAUAUUGAACCGUAGGGUUCAAUAGUGAAAGACGGUUUUGCUGUCACUUAUAGAUGGAUCCGCGCCGCAUGAGCUGGUUGGGACGGUAACGGCCUACCAAGGGAAGGAUGCGUAGCCGACCGGCGAGGGUGAUAGGCCACACGGGAACUGAAACGGGCACCAUACUCCUGCGGGAGGGAGCAGACGCGAAUCUUCCGCAAUGGUCGAGAGCAUGACGGAGCAAGGCGGCGCCAGAGAUGAAGGUCUCGGGAGCGUAAAACUCUGUUAUUAGGUAAAAACCAAUGUGGACGGAAAUAUGCACGUCGUGACGGUAACUAAUCAGAAAGCCACGGCUAACUACGUG
This 497-nucleotide ribosomal RNA is filed under the name uncultured bacterium. RNAcentral describes it as "partial 16S ribosomal RNA". It matches the Rfam family "Bacterial small subunit ribosomal RNA", at positions 28 to 507 of the family's 1533-position model. The record is from RNAcentral.